GACAGAGGUGCCGAGCGUUAUGCGGAAUCACUGGGCUUAAAGCGUGUGUAGGCGGAUUCCUAAGUACCUUGUGAAAUCCCAUGGCUCAACCAUGGAACUGCUUGGUAUACUGGGUGUCUUGAGCCAGCUAGGGGCUACCGGAACAAAUGGUGGAGCGGUGAAAUGCGUAGAUAUCAUUUGGAACGCCAAUGGUGAAAACAGGUAGCUGGGGCUGUGCUGACGCUGAGACACGAAAGCCAGGGGAGCGAACGGG
This 253-nucleotide ribosomal RNA is filed under the name uncultured bacterium. RNAcentral describes it as "partial 16S ribosomal RNA". It matches the Rfam family "Bacterial small subunit ribosomal RNA", at positions 524 to 776 of the family's 1533-position model. The record is from RNAcentral.